GCCAGCAUGGUGUAGUGGUUUAAGUGUCAGACUAUGACUCUGGAGACCUCUAGAGAUCAGGGUUUGAAUCCCUGCUUGAU
Non-coding RNA from Phrynosoma platyrhinos (Desert horned lizard), 80 nucleotides. Lineage: Eukaryota; Metazoa; Chordata; Lepidosauria; Squamata; Phrynosomatidae. The record is from the annotation of a GenBank genome assembly.